UCAAAUCUCAGCUCAGAUUUAAUCAAAAAGGCCAUGAACUUUGACAGAUUACUUUCUGAAGAACCUGGUCUGAAUUUGGAAUUUGGAAUAAAGCUAGAAAUCAGUGUCACCCUGCCCAGCCUGUCUUGAAAAAUGAUUAAAUGGAACGAUGAGCUGAAAAUCUACUCUGGGGGAAGUGCUGUUGAAUUCAGUGAUCUAUUCCCAGCAUAACAGAUACCGCCGCCUUGUGAGAAGAUUUCCUGUGAACUGAAGAAGAGUGUCAGCCCAAUAGAGCAGUUCCUUUAUCUACAUAUCUAAGCUUGUAUACAGCAACAGUUAUUGCAAAGCUCCCACUGACUUCAAUGGAAGCAGAAUUGACCCUUCAGUAAGGCUUUUAUUUCAUUGCACCCAAACUUCCUCCCCCCUUUUUUAUUUAUGAAUUUCAAUGUGUGUCAUGCUUAC
Long non-coding RNA from Alligator sinensis (Chinese alligator), 441 nucleotides. RefSeq lists it as uncharacterized. The record is from RefSeq and is a predicted model, not a curated record. Lineage: Eukaryota; Metazoa; Chordata; Crocodylia; Alligatoridae. The transcript has 3 exons.